GAUGAACGCUGGCGGCGUGCCUAAUACAUGCAAGUCGAGCGAACGGACGAGAAGCUUGCUUCUCUGUUGUUAGCGGCGGACGGGUGAGUAACACGUGGAUAACCUACCUAUAAGACUGGGAUAACUUCGGGAAACCGGAGCUAAUACCGGAUAAUAUUUUGAACCGCAUGGGUCAAUAGUAAAAGACGGUCUUGCUGUCACUUAUAGAUGGAUCCGCGCUGCAUUAGCUAGUUGGUAAGGUAACGGCUUACCAAGGCAACGAUGCAUAGCCGAACUGUGGGGGUGUUCGGCCACACUGGAACUGGGACACGGUCCAGGCUCCUACGGGAGGCAGCAGUAGGGAAUCUUCCGCAAUGGGCGAAAGCCUGACGGAGCAACGCCGCGUGAGUGAUGAAGGUCUUCGGAUCGUAAAGCUCUGUUAUGAGGGAAGAACAUAUGUGUAAGUAACUGUGCACAUCUUGACGGUACCUAAUCAGAAAGCCACGGCUAACUACGUG
Molecule: ribosomal RNA, 497 nt
Filed under: uncultured bacterium
Lineage: Bacteria
Description: partial 16S ribosomal RNA
Rfam family: Bacterial small subunit ribosomal RNA
Source: RNAcentral